AGAGUUUGAUCAUGGCUCAGAUUGAACGCUGGCGGUAACUUUUAAACAUGCAAGUCGAGCGGUAACAGACAUAAAGAUUCAGCUUGCUGAAUCCGGUGCUGACGAGCGGCGAACGGGUGAGUAACGCGUAGGAAUCUACCCAGUAGCGGGGGAUAGCCCGGGGAAACCCGGAUUAAUACCGCAUACGCCCUAAGGGGGAAAGGGGGCAGCUUGCUGCUCUCACUAUUGGAUGAGCCUGCGUAAGAUUAGCUUGUUGGUGGGGUAAUGGCCUACCAAGGCAACGAUCUUUAGCUGGUCUGAGAGGACGAUCAGCCACAUUGGGACUGAGACACGGCCCAGACAUCUACGGAUGGCAGCAGUUAAGAAUAUUGGACAAUGGGGGCAACCCUGAUCCAGGUAUACCGCGUGUGUGAAGAAGGCCCUAGGGUUGUAAAGCACUUUAAUCAGAGAAGAAGCAUUUUAAGUUAAUACCUUAAUAUGUUGACGUUACCUGAAGAAUAAGGACCGGCUAACUCCGUGCCAGCAGCCGCGGUAAUACGGAGGGUCCAAGCGUUAAUCGGAAUUACUGGGCGUAAAGCGCGCGUAGGCGGUUUAGCAAGUUGAAUGUGAAAGCCCUGGGCUCAACCUAGGAACUGCAUUCAAAACUACUAAGCUAGAGUACGAGAGAGGAGAGUAGAAUUUCUGGUGUAGCGGUGAAAUGCGUAGAUAUCAGAAGGAAUACCAAUGGCGAAGGCAGCUCUCUGGCUCGUCACUGACGCUGAGGUGCGAAAGCGUGGGUAGCAAACAGGAUUAGAUACCCUGGUAGUCCACGCCGUAAACGAUGAGAACUAGCCGUUGGGCAGAUUUAACUGUUCAGUGGCACAGCUAACGCAUUAAGUUCUCCGCCUGGGGAGUACGGCCGCAAGGCUAAAACUCAAAUGAAUUGACGGGGGCCCGCACAAGUGGUGGAGCAUGUGGUUUAAUUCGAUGCAACGCGAAGAACCUUACCU
Molecule: ribosomal RNA, 989 nt
Filed under: metagenome
Description: bacterial SSU rRNA
Rfam family: Bacterial small subunit ribosomal RNA
Source: RNAcentral